This 117-nucleotide ribosomal RNA is filed under the name Ceratobasidiaceae sp. RNAcentral describes it as "partial large subunit ribosomal RNA". It matches the Rfam family "Eukaryotic large subunit ribosomal RNA", at positions 149 to 261 of the family's 3401-position model. The record is from RNAcentral. Lineage: Eukaryota; Fungi; Basidiomycota; Agaricomycetes; Cantharellales; Ceratobasidiaceae.
UCUAGAGAAGCAUCAUCCGUGCUGGACCAUGUACAAGUCUCUUGGAACAGAGCGUCAUAGAGGGUGAGAAUCCCGUCCUUGACAUGGACUCCCAGUACUUUGUGUUGUGCUCUCAAC